This 404-nucleotide long non-coding RNA is filed under the name Vigna radiata. Its description in RNAcentral is "long non-coding RNA (VRAD_LNC010406)". Lineage: Eukaryota; Viridiplantae; Streptophyta; Magnoliopsida; Fabales; Fabaceae. The record is from RNAcentral.
GGGGUAGGACGAUCAAUUGUAUUUUGGUUCCGUUCACAUUGCAUUAUUAGUUACUAGGGGAGGCUAGGGAUAGCAAGCCGAUAAUUAAUAAUAGGCUCUUUUCACCAAGGGAUUGGGUUAAGGGUAGGCUAGAAAGUUUGCAUGACAAUUGGAUAAAUAAGUGAAGUAAAUAAUAAAAGUAGAUAUAUGAGAGUGGAUAAGAUGAAAUUGUAAACCCCAACAACACCUUUGAUCCAUAGUUUUUCAAAGCCAAUUGAAUCACUGCAUUUGCAUGUUUACUUUUGUUCUUAGCAUACAAACAACAACUUAAUUCUUUUCUUAAGUCUUACGCGAUUUGUUUACAUGAAAAGUAAGGCCUAAGAGUCCUUUGGGAAGAACGAUAUUGGGUUUACCAAUUAUAUUAC